RNAcentral lists this ribosomal RNA (772 nucleotides) under Hyphomonas sp. DG1448. RNAcentral's name for it is "bacterial SSU rRNA". It matches the Rfam family "Bacterial small subunit ribosomal RNA", at positions 52 to 881 of the family's 1533-position model. Lineage: Bacteria; Pseudomonadati; Pseudomonadota; Alphaproteobacteria; Hyphomonadales; Hyphomonadaceae. The record is from RNAcentral.
CACAUGCAAGUCGAACGAUAUAGUGGCAGACGGGUGAGUAACGCGUGGAAACGUGCCUUUCACUACGGAAUAGCUUUUGGAAACGAAAGGUAAUACCGUAUACGCCCUCCGGGGGAAAGAUUUAUCGGUGAAAGAUCGGUCCGCGUUAGAUUAGCUAGUUGGUGAGGUAAGAGCUCACCAAGGCGACGAUCUAUAGCUGGUCUGAGAGGAUGAUCAGCCACACUGGGACUGAGACACGGCCCAGACUCCUACGGGAGGCAGCAGUGGGGAAUAUUGCACAAUGGGCGCAAGCCUGAUGCAGCCAUGCCGCGUGAAUGAUGAAGGCCUUAGGGUUGUAAAAUUCUUUCGCCAAGGAUGAUAAUGACAGUACUUGGUAAAGAAGCCCCGGCUAACUUCGUGCCAGCAGCCGCGGUAAUACGAAGGGGGCUAGCGUUGUUCGGAAUUACUGGGCGUAAAGCGCACGUAGGCGGAUUUUUAAGUCAGAUGUGAAAUCCCAAGGCUCAACCUUGGAACUGCAUUUGAAACUGGGAAUCUAGAGAUCAGGAGAGGUUAGUGGAAUACCGAGUGUAGAGGUGAAAUUCGUAGAUAUUCGGUGGAACACCAGUGGCGAAGGCGACUAACUGGACUGAUACUGACGCUGAGGUGCGAAAGUGUGGGGAGCAAACAGGAUUAGAUACCCUGGUAGUCCACACCGUAAACGAUGAGAGCUAGUUGUCUGCAGGCAUGCCUGUAGGUGACGCACCUAACGCAUUAAGCUCUCCGCCUGGGGAGU